AUACGUAGGGAGCGAGCGUUGUCCGGAAUUACUGGGUGUAAAGGGUGCGUAGGCGGGAGUGCAAGUCAGAUGUGAAAUACAUGGGCUCAACCCAUGGGCUGCAUUUGAAACUGCAUUUCUUGAGUGAAGUAGAGGUAAGCGGAAUUCCUGGUGUAGCGGUGAAAUGCGUAGAUAUCAGGAGGAACACCGGUGGUGAAGGCGGCUUACUGGGCUUUUACUGACGCUGAGGCUCGAAAGCGUGGGGAGCAAACAGGAUUAGAUACCCUGGUAGUCCACGCUGUAAACGAUGAUUACUAGGUGUGGGGGGACUGACCCCUUCCGUGCCGCAGUUAACACAAUAAGUAUUCCACCUGGGGAGUACGAUCGCAAGAUUGAAACUCAAAUGAAUUGACGGGG
RNAcentral lists this ribosomal RNA (396 nucleotides) under uncultured bacterium. RNAcentral describes it as "partial 16S ribosomal RNA". It matches the Rfam family "Bacterial small subunit ribosomal RNA", at positions 523 to 918 of the family's 1533-position model. The record is from RNAcentral.